GAUGAACGCUAGCUACAGGCUUAACACAUGCAAGUCGAGGGGUAACGAGAGGGAAGCUUGCUUUCCUUGUCGACGACCGGCGCACGGGUGAGUAACGCGUAUCCAACCUGCCCCCAACUAGGGAAUAACCUUGAGAAAGUAAGACUAAUACCCUAUAAUUUCCUCAGAUGCCAUCUGACGAGGAAUAAAGAUUUAUCGGUUGUGGAUGGGGAUGCGUCUUAUUAGCUUGUUGGCGGGGUAACGGCCCACCAAGGCAACGAUCAGUAGGGGUUCUGUGCGCAAGGUCCCCCACAUUGGAACUGAGACACGGUCCAAACUCCUACGGGAGGCAGCAGUGAGGAAUAUUGGUCAAUGGGCGGAAGCCUGAACCAGCCAAGUAGCGUUCAGGAUGACGGCCCUAUGGGUUGUAAACUGCUUUUAUACAGGAAUAAAGUUAUCCACGUGUGGUUAUUUGUAGGUACUGUAUGAAUAAGGACCGGCUAAUUCCGUGCCAGCCGCCGCAGUAA
RNAcentral lists this ribosomal RNA (506 nucleotides) under uncultured bacterium. RNAcentral's name for it is "partial 16S ribosomal RNA". It matches the Rfam family "Bacterial small subunit ribosomal RNA", at positions 28 to 523 of the family's 1533-position model. The record is from RNAcentral.